ACGUAAGGGGCAAGCGUUAUCCGGAUUUAUUGGGCAUAAAGAGCAUGUAGGUGGUAUUUUAAGUCAGAUGUUAAAGGCUGGGGCUCAACCCCAGUUCGCCUCUGAAACUGAAAUACUCGAGGACAGUAGAGGAAAGCGGAACUCACGGUGUAGCGGUGAAAUGCGUAGAUAUCGUGAGGAACACCAGUUGCGAAGGCGGCUUUCUGGCCUGAUCCUGACACUGAGAUGCGAAAGCGUGGGGAGCGAACGGG
Molecule: ribosomal RNA, 251 nt
Filed under: uncultured bacterium
Lineage: Bacteria
Description: partial 16S ribosomal RNA
Rfam family: Bacterial small subunit ribosomal RNA
Source: RNAcentral